GAUUUACGUGGGUGUAAAGGGUGCGUAGGCGGGACUGCAAGUCAGACGUGAAAUACCGAGGCUUAACCUCGGGGCUGCGUUUGAAACUGUAGUUCUUGAGUGAAGUAGAGGCAGGCGGAAUUCGUCGUGUAGCGGUGAAAUGCAUAGAUAUGACGAAGAACUCCGAUUGCGAAGGCAGCUUACUGGGCCGCAACUGACGCUGAAGCUCGAAGGUGCGGGGAGC
This 223-nucleotide ribosomal RNA is filed under the name uncultured bacterium. RNAcentral describes it as "partial 16S ribosomal RNA". It matches the Rfam family "Bacterial small subunit ribosomal RNA", at positions 555 to 769 of the family's 1533-position model. The record is from RNAcentral.